RNAcentral lists this ribosomal RNA (116 nucleotides) under Pteropus alecto (black flying fox). Lineage: Eukaryota; Metazoa; Chordata; Mammalia; Chiroptera; Pteropodidae. The record is from RNAcentral.
GUCUACGGCCAUGCCACCCUGAACAAGCCCAAUGUCUGAUCUCGGAAGCUAAGCAGGGUCGGGCCUGGUUAGUACUUGGAUGGGAGACCACCUAGGAAGACCAGGUGCUCUAGGCA